CCUACGGGAGGCAGCAGUGAGGAAUAUUGGUCAAUGGACGAGAGUCUGAACCAGCAAAGUAGCGUGAAGGAUGACUGCCCUAUGGGUGGUAAACUUCUUUUAUAAAGGAAUAAAACGAGGCACGUGUGCCUUUUUGCAUGUACUUUAUGAAUAAGGAUCGGCUAACUCCGUGCCAGCAGCCGCGGUAAUACGGAGGAUCCGAGCGUUAUCCGGAUUUAUUGGGGUUAAAGGGAGCGUAGAUGGGUUGUUAAGUCAGUUGUGAAAGUUUGCGGCUCAACCGUAAAAUUGCAAUUGAUACUGGCAGUCUUGAGGACAGUUGAGGUAGGCGGAAUUCGUGGUGUAGCGGUGAAAUGCUUAGAUAUCACGAAGAACCCCGAUUGCGAAGGCAGCUUACUAAACUGUGACUGACAUUGAUGCUCGAAAGUGUGGGUAUCAAACAGGAUUAGAUACCCUGGUAGUC
RNAcentral lists this ribosomal RNA (460 nucleotides) under uncultured bacterium. Its description in RNAcentral is "partial 16S ribosomal RNA". It matches the Rfam family "Bacterial small subunit ribosomal RNA", at positions 338 to 795 of the family's 1533-position model. The record is from RNAcentral.